RNAcentral lists this transfer-messenger RNA (395 nucleotides) under gamma proteobacterium IMCC1989. It matches the Rfam family "transfer-messenger RNA". From Rfam's summary of the family: Bacterial tmRNA, also known as 10Sa RNA or SsrA, is named for its dual tRNA and mRNA-like properties. Its role is to liberate the mRNA from a stalled ribosome. The record is from Rfam by way of RNAcentral. Lineage: Bacteria; Pseudomonadati; Pseudomonadota; Gammaproteobacteria; Alteromonadales. RNAcentral also lists the same sequence under 2 other names.
GGGGGCGAUUAGGAUUCGACGCUGGUGACAAAACCCAAGGUGCAUGUCGUGAUGGUAGCAAUCACGUAAAUCCAAAGCUGCAAAUUUAUAGUUGCAAAUGAUGCUAACUACGAUGGUGCUCAACUAGCUGCGUAAGCAGUUUUUUGAAAACCAUUUCUAGUGACUUCGGUCCUAGCGGUCUCUAACAAGGUGUCUGUAUCGCGUUAUUGACUGUCAUAUAGAACAGAAUCGCAGCAACUCACACUCAGGGUUUCGCUGUUAAACUUUAACUGAGAUCGCCAAUUACGUCCUGCCCGUUGGGCUGUAUGCGGUUAAACUAAUUAACGGAAACUAAACAUGUAGAGCCGAGGACGGAGUGCUGGCGGACGGGGGUUCAAAUCCCCCCGCCUCCACCA